AGUCGAGGGGUAACAGGGAGAAGCUUGCUUUUCUGCUGACGACCGGCGCACGGGUGCGUAACGCGUAUAGAAUCUACCUUGUACAGAGGGAUAGCCCAGAGAAAUUUGGAUUAAUACCUCAUAGUGUUUUUGAAUGGCAUCAUUUAAGAACUAAACAUUUAUGGGUACAAGAUGACUAUGCGUCCUAUUAGUUAGUUGGUAAGGUAACGGCUUACCAAGACAUCGAUAGGUAGGGGUCCUGAGAGGGAGAUCCCCCACACUGGUACUGAGACACGGACCAGACUCCUACGGGAGGCAGCAGUGAGGAAUAUUGGACAAUGGAGGCAACUCUGAUCCAGCCAUGCCGCGUGAAGGAAGACUGCCCUAUGGGUUGUAAACUUCUUUUAUAUAGGAAGAAACACUCUUACGUGUAAGAGCUUGACGGUACUAUAUGAAUAAGGACCGGCUAACUCCGUGCCAGCAGCCGCGGUAACACGGAGGGUCCGAGCGUUAUCCGGAAUCAUUGGGUCUAAAGGGUCCGUAGGUGGACUAAUAAGUCAGAGGUGAAAUCCCAUAGCUCAACUAUGGAACUGCCUUUGAUACUGUUAGUCUUGAGUCAUUUGGAAGUAGAUAGAAUGUGUAGUGUAGCGGUGAAAUGCAUAGAUGUUACACAGAAUACCGAUUGCGAAGGCAGUCUACUACGAAUGUACUGACACUGAUGGACGAAAGCGUGGGGAGCGAACGGGAUUAGAUACCCCGGUAGUCCACGCCGUAAACGAUGGACACUAGUUGUUGGGAUUUAUCUCAGUGACUAAGCGAAAGUGAUAAGUGU
This 811-nucleotide ribosomal RNA is filed under the name uncultured marine bacterium. RNAcentral's name for it is "bacterial SSU rRNA". It matches the Rfam family "Bacterial small subunit ribosomal RNA", at positions 60 to 867 of the family's 1533-position model. The record is from RNAcentral.